This 466-nucleotide ribosomal RNA is filed under the name Vreelandella stevensii. RNAcentral's name for it is "partial 16S ribosomal RNA". It matches the Rfam family "Bacterial small subunit ribosomal RNA", at positions 338 to 795 of the family's 1533-position model. Lineage: Bacteria; Pseudomonadati; Pseudomonadota; Gammaproteobacteria; Oceanospirillales; Halomonadaceae. The record is from RNAcentral.
CCUACGUGGCGCUGCAGUGGGGAAUAUUGGACAAUGGGCGAAAGCCUGAUCCAGCCAUGCCGCGUGUGUGAAGAAGGCCUUCGGGUUGUAAAGCACUUUCAGUGGGGAAGAAAGCCUUGGGGCUAAUACCCUCGAGGAAGGACAUCACCCACAGAAGAAGCACCGGCUAACUCCGUGCCAGCAGCCGCGGUAAUACGGAGGGUGCGAGCGUUAAUCGGAAUUACUGGGCGUAAAGCGCGCGUAGGCGGUCUGAUAAGCCGGUUGUGAAAGCCCCGGGCUCAACCUGGGAACGGCAUCCGGAACUGUCAGGCUAGAGGGCAGGAGAGGAAGGUAGAAUUCCCGGUGUAGCGGUGAAAUGCGUAGAGAUCGGGAGGAAUACCAGUGGCGAAGGCGGCCUUCUGGACUGACACUGACGCUGAGGUGCGAAAGCGUGGGUAGCAAACAGGAUUAGAUACCCGUAGUAGUC